UCUACAUAUAAUUCUAGCAACUGAGUUUAUCAGGAAAAGAAAAAUUCUAACUACAGAUUUGUGUACAAGUAGCAUAUCAAUCAUCUUUAUAUUCUCCUCCUUCACCUGUUAUAUUUGUCAAUAUGGCUCAUAAAAUGUUGAGUGUUCAUUAGCUUACACUUGAUUUGAAGCUGUAAAGUAAUAGUGAGCAUCCCACUUUGAAUAUACCUAGUUGCACUUGAGUAAAUAAACCAUAGAAGGUUGGGGGUAAGGCCGUGGUCCCAUCUUAGGAACUCGAUGCUGUGGUUCCUUGAAGGGAUCUUAGAGGGAGUUGAGUUUAGAGAACUAG
This 328-nucleotide long non-coding RNA is filed under the name Amborella trichopoda. Its description in RNAcentral is "long non-coding RNA (ATRI_LNC003187)". The record is from RNAcentral. Lineage: Eukaryota; Viridiplantae; Streptophyta; Magnoliopsida; Amborellales; Amborellaceae.